CCUAUAAUCGUUUUAAUCGAUGGGGGGACGCAGUAGGAUAGGCGAAGCGUGCGAUUGGAUUGCACGUCUAAGCAGUAAGGCUGAGUAUUAGGCAAAUCCGGUACUCGUUAAGGCUGAGCUGUGAUGGGGAGAAGACAUUGUGUCUUCGAGUCGUUGAUUUCACACUGCCGAGAAAAGCCUCUAGAUAGAAAAUAGGUGCCCGUACCGCAAACCGACACAGGUA
Molecule: ribosomal RNA, 223 nt
Filed under: Staphylococcus aureus
Lineage: Bacteria; Bacillati; Bacillota; Bacilli; Caryophanales; Staphylococcaceae
Description: partial 23S ribosomal RNA
Rfam family: Bacterial large subunit ribosomal RNA
Source: RNAcentral